This 737-nucleotide ribosomal RNA is filed under the name uncultured bacterium. RNAcentral's name for it is "bacterial SSU rRNA". It matches the Rfam family "Bacterial small subunit ribosomal RNA", at positions 62 to 797 of the family's 1533-position model. The record is from RNAcentral.
UCGAACGGUAACAGGCCUUCGGGCGCUGACGAGUGGCGGACGGGUGAGUAACGCGUAGGAAUCUGCCUGGUAGUGGGGGACAACUUGGGGAAACUCAAGCUAAUACCGCAUACGCCCUACGGGGGAAAGCGGGGGCUCUUCGGACCUCGCGCUAUCAGAUGAGCCUGCGUUAGAUUAGCUAGUUGGUAGGGUAAAGGCCUACCAAGGCGACGAUCUAUAGCUGGUCUGAGAGGACGAUCAGCCACACUGGGACUGAGACACGGCCCAGACUCCUACGGGAGGCAGCAGUGGGGAAUAUUGGACAAUGGGCGAAAGCCUGAUCCAGCAAUACCGCGUGUGUGAAGAAGGCCUGAGGGUUGUAAAGCACUUUCAAUUGGGAGGAAAAAGGUGAGGUUAAUACCCUUACCCUUGACAUUACCUUUAGAAGAAGCACCGGCUAACUCCGUGCCAGCAGCCGCGGUAAUACGGAGGGUGCGAGCGUUAAUCGGAAUUACUGGGCGUAAAGCGUGCGUAGGCGGUUAUUUAAGUCAGAUGUGAAAGCCCCGGGCUUAACCUGGGAACGGCAUUUGAUACUGGGUAACUAGAGUUUAAUAGAGGAGAGUGGAAUUUCAGGUGUAGCGGUGAAAUGCGUAGAGAUCUGAAGGAACAUCAGUGGCGAAGGCGGCUCUCUGGAUUAAAACUGACGCUGAGGUACGAAAGCGUGGGUAGCAAACAGGAUUAGAUACCCUGGUAGUCCA